Molecule: transfer RNA, 66 nt
Filed under: Thenus orientalis
Lineage: Eukaryota; Metazoa; Arthropoda; Malacostraca; Decapoda; Scyllaridae
Description: tRNA-Phe
Source: RNAcentral
AUUCAUAUAAUUUACGUUAAGAAUAUUACAUUGAAGCUGUAAAAGAGACAUUGCUGUCUGUGAAUA